This 472-nucleotide ribosomal RNA is filed under the name uncultured bacterium. RNAcentral describes it as "bacterial SSU rRNA". It matches the Rfam family "Bacterial small subunit ribosomal RNA", at positions 8 to 507 of the family's 1533-position model. The record is from RNAcentral.
AGAGUUUGAUCAUGGCUCAGGAUGAACGCUGGCGGAGUGCCUAACACAUGCAAGUCGAGCGGCAGCGCGAGUAGUUUACUACUUGGCGGCGAGCGGCGGACGGCUGAGUAACGCGUGGGAACAUGCCCCAAAGUGAGGAAUAACUGCCCGAAAGGGUAGCUAAUGCCGCAUACGAUCUUCGGAUUAAAGGAUUUAUCCGCUUUGGGAGUGGCCUGCGUACGAUUAGAUAGUUGGUGAGGUAAUGGGCUCACCAAGUCUACGAUCGUUAACUGGUUUGAGAGGAUGAUCAGUCAGACUGGAACUGAGACACGGUCCAGACUCCUACGGGAGGCAGCAGUGAGGAAUCUUCCACAAUGGACGAAAGUCUGAUGGAGCAACUCCGCGUGCAGGAUGAAGGCCUUCGGGUCGUAAACUGCUUUUAUGAGUGAAGAAUAUGACGGUAACUCAUGAAUAAGGGUCGGCUAACUACGUG